This 253-nucleotide ribosomal RNA is filed under the name uncultured bacterium. Its description in RNAcentral is "partial 16S ribosomal RNA". It matches the Rfam family "Bacterial small subunit ribosomal RNA", at positions 524 to 776 of the family's 1533-position model. The record is from RNAcentral.
UACAGAGGGUGCGAGCGUUAAUCGGAAUUACUGGGCGUAAAGCGUGCGUAGACGGUAGCGUAAGUCAGAUGUGAAAGCCCCGGGCUCAACCUGGGAAUUGCAUUUGAGACUGCUCUGCUCGGGUGCGGAAGAGGGAAGCGGAAUUUCCGGUGUAGCGGUGAAAUGCGUAGAUAUCAGUAGGAACACCAAUGGCGAAGGCAGCUUGCUGGGCCGUUUCUGACGCUAAGGCACGAAAGCGUGGGGAGCGAACAGG